This 468-nucleotide ribosomal RNA is filed under the name uncultured bacterium. RNAcentral's name for it is "partial 16S ribosomal RNA". It matches the Rfam family "Bacterial small subunit ribosomal RNA", at positions 28 to 493 of the family's 1533-position model. The record is from RNAcentral.
GACGAACGCUGGCGGCGUGCUUAACACAUGCAAGUCGAACGGAAAGGCCCUGCUUUUGUGGGGUGCUCGAGUGGCGAACGGGUGAGUAACACGUGAGUAACCUGCCCUUGACUUUGGGAUAACUUCAGGAAACUGGGGCUAAUACCGGAUAGGAGCUCCUGCUGCAUGGUGGGGGUUGGAAAGUUUCGGCGGUUGGGGAUAGACUCGCGGCUUAUCAGCUUGUUGGUGGGGUAGUGGCUUACCAAGGCUUUGACGGGUAGCCGGCCUGAGAGGGUGACCGGCGAGAUGGGGGCGGAGAUACGGCCGAGACGCCGACGGGAGGCAGCAGUGGGGAAGAGUGGACGAGGGGCGGCGGCCUGAUGCAGCAACGCAGGGUGCGGGAGGACGGGCUGAGGGUGGUAGACCGCUAACGCCUGGGACGAAGCGUGAAGGACGGUAAGGUAUAGAGGGACACCGGGGAGGUACAUU